UAAUAGCGUAUAUUAAAGUUGUUGCAGUUAAAAAGCUCGUAGUCGGAUGUCGGGCUCGGGCAGGCUGUCGGCUUCGGUCGGACGGCAGGCUCGGGUCUUUCUGCCUGAGGAUCCAUCUCAUUCACUUGGGGUGGGGACGCAGGCCGUUUACUUUGAAAAAAUUAGAGUGUUCAAAGCAGGCCUACGCUUGAAUACAUUAGCAUGGAAUAAUGGAAUAGGACUUUGGUGCUAUUUUGUUGGUUUAUGGGACCGAAGUAAUGAUUAACAGGGACAGUUGGGGCCGUUUAUAUUUCGUUGUCAGAGGUGAAAUUCUUGGAUUUACGAAAGAGAAACUUCUGCGAAAGCAUUCGGCAAGGAUGUUUUCAUUGA
RNAcentral lists this ribosomal RNA (369 nucleotides) under uncultured eukaryote. RNAcentral describes it as "partial 18S ribosomal RNA". It matches the Rfam family "Eukaryotic small subunit ribosomal RNA", at positions 592 to 976 of the family's 1831-position model. The record is from RNAcentral.